Molecule: transfer RNA, 66 nt
Filed under: Mytella strigata
Lineage: Eukaryota; Metazoa; Mollusca; Bivalvia; Mytilida; Mytilidae
Description: Musculus strigatus tRNA-Leu
Source: RNAcentral
UUUCAUCUGGCAGAUAAAAUGCGAAUGAUUUAGGUUCAUUUUAUAAGAUAUAUUUCUUGAUGAAGA